AACAAACGCUGGCGGCGUGCCUAAUACAUGCAAGUCGAACGGGGUAGCAAUACCUAGUGGCGCACGGGUGAGUAAUACAUGGGUAAUCUGCCUCAAAGUUGGGGAUAACCUUCCGAGAGGAAGGCUAAUACCGAAUAAGACCACAUGAUCUGCGGAUCAAGAGGUCAAAGGUUUUUCGCUUUGAGAUGAGCCCAUGCGGGAUUAGCUAGUUGGUGAGGUAAUGGCUCACCAAGGCCACGAUCCCUAGCUGGUCUGAGAGGAUGAUCAGCCACACUGGAACUGAGAAACGGUCCAGACUCCUACGGGAGGCAGCAGUAGGAAAUAUUGCGCAAUGGGGGAAACCCUGACGCAGCGACGCCGCGUGAGUGAUGAAGGCCUUCGGGUCGUAAAGCUCUGUCGUAUGGGAAUAAUAAACUGAAUGUACCAUACAAGAAAGGAUCGGCUAACUUCGUGCCAGCCGCCGCGGUAA
Molecule: ribosomal RNA, 469 nt
Filed under: uncultured bacterium
Lineage: Bacteria
Description: partial 16S ribosomal RNA
Rfam family: Bacterial small subunit ribosomal RNA
Source: RNAcentral